Molecule: small RNA, 111 nt
Filed under: Sinorhizobium meliloti 2011
Lineage: Bacteria; Pseudomonadati; Pseudomonadota; Alphaproteobacteria; Hyphomicrobiales; Rhizobiaceae
Description: putative ncRNA
Rfam family: Alphaproteobacteria transfer-messenger RNA
About the family: Bacterial tmRNA, also known as 10Sa RNA or SsrA, is named for its dual tRNA and mRNA-like properties.
Source: RNAcentral
GCCGUCUUCGGGCGGCUAUGGCAAUAAACGGGCGAUGCAAUAAACCCAUUGGACCCGGGGGCGGUACCCGGCGCCUCCACCAAAAACCGGCCUGUGCAGACCGGCUUUUGA